Molecule: ribosomal RNA, 304 nt
Filed under: uncultured bacterium
Lineage: Bacteria
Description: partial 16S ribosomal RNA
Rfam family: Bacterial small subunit ribosomal RNA
Source: RNAcentral
CAGCAGCCGCCGCGGUAAUACGGAGGGUGCAAGCGUUAAUCGGAAUUACUGGGCGUAGAGCGCACGCAGGCGGUUUGUUAAGUCAGAUGUGAAAUCCCCGAGCUUAACUUGGGAACUGCAUUUGAAACUGGCAAGCUAGAGUCUUGUAGAGGGGGGUAGAAUUCCAGGUGUAGCGGUGAAAUGCGUAGAGAUCUGGAGGAAUACCGGUGGCGAAGGCGGCCCCCUGGACAAAGACUGACGCUCAGGUGCGAAAGCGUGGGGAGCAAACAGGAUUAGAUACCCGGGUAGUCCCUGUCUCUUAUAC